CGAUGUGAUAAUGAAUUCUCUGGAGUGCUAUUAAACAAGAAAUCUAGAUGAUAUUAUUAUUGACAAUUGAUUAUAAUAAUAUAUUAUCAUUAGCAUUAUAUAUUAUCUAACAUAUUAUCAUUGAGUAUUGUUUAGUUGGAGAAAAAGUGACCAUGGCGACUUAUCAACACAUUAAUAUUAAGCAUUUGUUAUGUUCAAGAGACCAUGGAGGACCUCAUAUAGGUGCAAUAAACCUAUCCAACUAGGCUCCAGGGGACCAUGGAGGACCCCUUAAACUUGCAGUACAUCUAUCUACAUAUAAAUAUGUGUCCAUGGAGGACACAUAUCCACAUAUAUGAUGCAUUUGUUGUGUUCAAGAGGCCAAGGUUCAAGAAUAUGUUACAUUUGAUAUGUUUCCAAGUAACCAUGGAGGACAUUUGCAUAGAUUCUGCUUAAUAUUAUUACAGACAAGUCCAAACUAGGAGAAGUUAUUAGGGAUUAUAAUAAAAUAAAACGACGCAACGAGCUGGAAACCAAAA
Long non-coding RNA from Drosophila montana, 518 nucleotides. RefSeq lists it as uncharacterized. The record is from RefSeq and is a predicted model, not a curated record. The transcript has 2 exons. Lineage: Eukaryota; Metazoa; Arthropoda; Insecta; Diptera; Drosophilidae.